UUGGCUGUAGUGGCCCGACCUGCCCGCGGUGACCUCGUGUGGACCGUCGCCGGCCACGCAGGCUCCAGCGCAGGCGGGAGGAAGCGCGGUGUCCGCACGGAGCCGGAGGGGGCUCCUGCGGCCCGACCUUGUUUUCCAGGGCUCCCGUAGCGACCAUCGCCUCUUGGACGGUGGACACUGGUGUGCGGGGAUGUCCAGGGACAGGCUGAGGACGUGCGCGGAGGGCGGCUGCACCCUCCACCACGAGGCACCUCCGAUGAUUGUGUUGCUGUCCCAACUGUAAGGUUUUUGGAUAGGCUGGCGCCAGAGAAAGAAAGAUGAGCAGAGUUGAAAGGGAAAGCGCAGAAGAAGGAAGACAAGGUCCAACAGAGCAGCGUGGCCUGGUGGUGUGUGGAGGAGCGGCGAAGGCCCAGAAAGGGAGCUCUGGGCAUCUGAAGGGGAAGAAGUUGACUUCCUUUUUCCUCUGUAUUCUCUUUGGGGAAAAUCCUGUUAGCGCUCUUUUCCUCCUGGUUUCCACUUCUUGUCCUUUUGCAUUUUCUGGGAGAGUGCCUCGUCAUUAACAUUCAGA
This is a long non-coding RNA of Lemur catta (Ring-tailed lemur), 568 nucleotides long. RefSeq lists it as uncharacterized. Lineage: Eukaryota; Metazoa; Chordata; Mammalia; Primates; Lemuridae. The transcript is spliced from 3 exons. The record is from RefSeq and is a predicted model, not a curated record.